ACGGAAUGGAAAGUCCGGCCACAGCGGGUGAUAGCCCCGUAUGAGAAAUGCAGAUUGUGGAACUAGGCGCGAAUAGAGUAGGGCGGGACACGUGAAAUCCUGUCUGAAUAUGGGGGGACCAUCCUCCAAGGCUAAAUACUCGUAAUCGACCGAUAGUGAACCAGUACCGUGAGGGAAAGGCGAAAAGAACCCCGGGAGGGGAGUGAAAUAGAUCCUGAAACCGCAUGCAUACAAAAAGUCGGAGCCGCAAGGUGACGGCGUACCUUUUGUAUAAUGGGUCAGCGACUUACAUUCAGUGGCGAGGUUAACCGAAUAGGGAAGCCGUAGAGAAAUCGAGUCCGAAUAGGGCGAAUAGUCGCUGGGUGUAGACCCGAAACCAAGUGAUCUAUCCAUGG
This 395-nucleotide ribosomal RNA is filed under the name Amphora coffeiformis. RNAcentral's name for it is "partial Bacterial large subunit ribosomal RNA". It matches the Rfam family "Bacterial large subunit ribosomal RNA", at positions 337 to 739 of the family's 2925-position model. Lineage: Eukaryota; Bacillariophyta; Bacillariophyceae; Surirellales; Surirellaceae. The record is from RNAcentral.